UGCAGGAGAUAGGGUUGUAUGACCAAAAGCCUCACCUCUGGCCAUAGGGAGGGAAGUCUGACCUUGGCCGUUGCAGGACAAAGAGCUCCCAGUAGAGCUGACUGGACACAGAUAUUAAGCCAGCCAAGAAGAGACUGCAGAUUCAUCAACCAGUUACCUUGGAGAACAUGCUAUGCCCCUCGUCAGCAAUUCAACCAACAGUCCAAGUAUUAAGCAACUUGCAAUGGAUGGUAUGGGCAUCCAGUUUAUUCUAAUAAACUCAUCCCCCAAGCACUGCAGUGGAAGAGGCUGGGAUGAACUUGCUGGAUCAAUCCAUCAUCAAGAGAGAUAAGGAAGCAUCUGCUCAUGCAGGAGCCUGGGAUCCUGCUCCAGUCUCUGGGACCAGCUCUUGGCAAGUGCUGUCCUCUGCACCUCAGGGUUGCUCUGCCUCCCAAGGUACUUGGCCAAAUUGACCAGCACUCAGCUCUCUCCUCCUCACAGCACUGAGCAGGAGAUGGGACAUGGGCUGGAGGAUCUCUGACCACUGCUUCCCUCCCGCUGGCCAAGUGCCUUUGGAGGCAGAGUAGACACUUCUACUUAAUGCUACAUUAAUCACUGGCAAGUCCAUCAAACAGAACCAGAGAGAGAGAAGUCUGCUUGUUCAGAAUUGCCAAGAGAUGCAUCGGAUUAGACAUUUUGCAGGUCAGGACAUGAGUAAAGUAUGUGUGACAGACUCGCUACCUGCUGAUGGAACCUCUGGCAUUUACUGUCCUCAGCAAUGCUAUAAUCUCUCAGGGGACCAUUAGAAUCAAGUGAAAAUCUUAUUCUGAAAGAACUUUGAAGACAGAGAUAGAGAGUUUGAGGUUUUUUUGACAUUUAACCAAACCAUUUUCCUGAUUGUUUGACUUUUUUUCUGCUUUUCUUUUAUCAUUUACUAUUCAUGGUCAGAAUGAGAAGUCACCAAUAUGCUGCAAGGCAAAGGCACACCAAUAUAAAUGUUAAUAAUGUUAAUCAAGUACGUGAGGGUGUUACCUUGUCCUCUCUCAUUUAUUUGUUUUCUCCUCUUAGUGUAUCUCACCACACAUAUUGAUUGUAAGGGCACUGAGAAAGGGACUAUAUUUUAUGUCAUGCAUGUGACCAAUAUUGAGCUCAGUGAAACCAUGGUCCCCAAACAGAGCCUCUAGGUACUACUGAAAUAUUGAUAAAUGUGAUUCUGCUGAAUGCUCCCUCCUAACCCCCCCCCCACAAAAAAAAAUUUCACAAGCUAUAACUGUCUUAUCUACCAAACACCAUUGUUCUGAUAUCAAAACUUCUUUCAGCUGAAAUAAAAAUAAGCAAGUAACUGGAAAGUAAAUACUAUUGAUUAUGUCAACUAAACAAAUUGGAAAGCAAGUGGCAAGAAGUCCUAGAAUGUCUGUUGAAAAGAACAACAAAAAAAAAGAAAAUAGCACUAAUUCUAUUUAAAGGGUAAAAACUGAGCUGAGUAGGGGCAUAUGUGUGUGCGAGCAUGCACACAAACACACUUACUUUGAGGAA
Alligator sinensis (Chinese alligator) is the source of this 1515-nucleotide long non-coding RNA. RefSeq lists it as uncharacterized. The transcript has 3 exons. The record is from RefSeq and is a predicted model, not a curated record. NCBI's taxonomy places the organism in Eukaryota, Metazoa, Chordata, Crocodylia, Alligatoridae.